GGAGGAGUGCUCUCUGCCUUGAAAAGAUCCAGCUGCUAAACUGUGAGCCACAGCUUACCCCUGCCUCAGCUGGAUACUCUCCAAGACACACAGGGGAUCUUCCUGACUCAGGGAUCAAAUCCAUGUCUCCUGCAUGGCAGGCAGAUUCUUU
Long non-coding RNA from Budorcas taxicolor (takin), 151 nucleotides. RefSeq lists it as uncharacterized. The record is from RefSeq and is a predicted model, not a curated record. NCBI's taxonomy places the organism in Eukaryota, Metazoa, Chordata, Mammalia, Artiodactyla, Bovidae. The transcript is spliced from 3 exons.